This 253-nucleotide ribosomal RNA is filed under the name uncultured bacterium. RNAcentral's name for it is "partial 16S ribosomal RNA". It matches the Rfam family "Bacterial small subunit ribosomal RNA", at positions 524 to 776 of the family's 1533-position model. The record is from RNAcentral.
UACGUAGGGUGCAAGCGUUGUCCGGAAUUAUUGGGCGUAAAGAGCUCGUAGGCGGUUUGUCGCGUCGAAUGUGAAAACCCGGGGCUCAACCCCGGGCCUGCAUUCGAUACGGGCAGACUAGAGUUCGGUAGGGGAGUCUGGAAUUCCUGGUGUAGCGGUGAAAUGCGCAGAUAUCAGGAGGAACACCAAUGGCGAAGGCAGCUCGCUGGAACGGUACUGACGCUGAGGCGCGAAAGCGUGGGGAGCAAACAGG